This 497-nucleotide ribosomal RNA is filed under the name uncultured bacterium. Its description in RNAcentral is "partial 16S ribosomal RNA". It matches the Rfam family "Bacterial small subunit ribosomal RNA", at positions 28 to 507 of the family's 1533-position model. The record is from RNAcentral.
GAUGAACGCUGGCGGCGUGCCUAAUACAUGCAAGUCGAGCGAACAGACGAGGAGCUUGCUCCUCUUACGUUAGCGGCGGACGGGUGAGUAACACGUGGAUAACCUACCUAUAAGACUGGGAUAACUUCGGGAAACCGGAGCUAAUACCGGAUAACAUGUUGAACCGCAUGGUUCAACAGUGAAAGACGGUCUUGCUGUCACUUAUAGAUGUAUCCGCGCCGCAUUAGCUAGUUGGUAAGGUAACGGCUUACCAAGGCAACGAUGCGUAGCCGACCUGAGAGGGUGAUCGGCCACACUGGAACUGAGACACGGGCCAGACUCCUAAGGGAGGCAGCAGUAGGGAAUCUUCCGCAAUGGGCGAAAGCCUGAAGGAGCAACGCCGCGUGAGUGAAGAAGGUCUUCGGAUCGUAAAACUCUGUUAUUAGGGAAGAACAAAUGUGUAAGUAACUAUGCACGGCUUGACGGUACCUAAUCAGAAAGCCACGGCUAACUACGUG